CUAAAGACCUGUUCCUAUGUUUAUAAGAAACCUGAUGGGUCCUUGUAUACAAGCUCAAGAGGAAGCUGGAAAUGCUUUUAAGAAGCCUGUGGGUCCUUGUACAAAGCCCAAGAGGAGGCUAAUCGAGGGUCCUUGUUAUAGCACAAGAGAAAGCUUAUGUAGUUUUGAACUUAUUUUGGCUCUAAGCAAAUGGGUAAGAGGUUUCACCGGGAAUAAUUCCUCUUUGGGUGGAUGUGUCCUAUUACUUUUGGAUUCUAAGGUUUUUGCCAAGAUGUUUCACCGGGAAUAAUUCAUCUUGGGGGUUUGAACUACAGAUCUCUAAUUAGGAAAGAGCCUUCACCGGGAAGACAUUCUCAAUCCUAGUAAUUUAAACAAAGACUGUAAAUUGAAAGCUUGUAAAGCCUAACCUGGAUGGAGUGGAGGCCAUUGAAGAAAAGAAGUGAAGAUGGACAAAGGUCACAUAGGUAUCUGAAGAGUUUCACCGGGAAUAAUGCCCUUCAAAUACCAGAAGAAUGUUUUUGAAAACAGAAAGAAGAUUUUGAAAAUACAGUUUUGAAAACAAGCUAAGAAGAGAAGGUUUUUGGGACUUACACUCUAUUAGAGGCCCACUUAAAAAUGAUUUACUGUUUAUGAAAACAGUUGAAGAAAAGAUUGAAAUGAUAUAAGGUUUUGUUGUUUGAAAACCUUAAUCAUAUGUUUAAUCGGAGAUUGAAAACAAUUUUGUAGAUUGACAAAAGUCAACUUAAUUAAGGCAAAGAUGAAAUCUAUACCUAAUUAAGACCUAA
Vicia villosa (hairy vetch) is the source of this 785-nucleotide long non-coding RNA. RefSeq lists it as uncharacterized. The record is from RefSeq and is a predicted model, not a curated record. NCBI's taxonomy places the organism in Eukaryota, Viridiplantae, Streptophyta, Magnoliopsida, Fabales, Fabaceae. The transcript has 3 exons.